GAUUGAACGCUGGCGGCGUGCCUAACACAUGCAAGUCGAGCGGUAACAGGUGUAGCAAUACAUGCUGACGAGCGGCGAACGGGUGAGUAAUGCUUCGGAAUCUACCCAAUGGUGGGGAAUAACCAGCCGAAAGGUUGGCUAAUACCGCAUACGUCCCACGGGAGAAAGCAGGGGAUCGCAAGACCUUGCGCCAAUGGAUGAGCCGAAGUCGGAUUAGCUAGUUGGAGGUAACGGCCUACCAAGGCGACGAUCCGUAGCUGGUCUGAGAGGACGACCAGCCACACUGGGACUGAGACACGGCCCAGACUCCGUACGGGAGGCAGCAGUGGGGAAUAUUGGACAAUGGGGGAAACCCUGAUCCAGCGACGCCGCGUGUGUGAAGAAGGCCUGCGGGUUG
Molecule: ribosomal RNA, 397 nt
Filed under: uncultured bacterium
Lineage: Bacteria
Description: bacterial SSU rRNA
Rfam family: Bacterial small subunit ribosomal RNA
Source: RNAcentral